Molecule: ribosomal RNA, 253 nt
Filed under: uncultured bacterium
Lineage: Bacteria
Description: partial 16S ribosomal RNA
Rfam family: Bacterial small subunit ribosomal RNA
Source: RNAcentral
UACGAGAGGCCCAAACGUUAUUCGGAAUUACUGGGCUUAAAGAGUUCGUAGGCGGCGCAGAAAGUAGGGUGUGAAAGCCCUCGGCUCAACCGAGGAAUUGCGCUCUAAACUACUGUGCUUGAGGAACCUAGAGGUGAGCAGAACAGAUGGUGGAGCGGUGAAAUGCGUUGAUAUCAUCUGGAAUACCGGAGGCGAAGGCGGCUCACUGGGGGUUUUCUGACGCUGAGGAACGAAAGCGUGGGGAGCAAACAGG